This 253-nucleotide unclassified non-coding RNA is filed under the name Hevea brasiliensis (rubber tree). Lineage: Eukaryota; Viridiplantae; Streptophyta; Magnoliopsida; Malpighiales; Euphorbiaceae. The record is from RNAcentral.
GCAACAUCUUUGUGAGAGACGGCUCAAGAAUUAUAAUUUUGCAAGGAUAAAAUGUCUUCUCCUAGCAAGAGGAGAGAAAUGGAUGUCAUGAAAUUGAUGAUGAGUGAUUACAAUGUGGAGACAAUAAAUGAUGGGCUGAAUGAAUUGAAUGUGGAAUUUCAUGGUCCUAAAGAAAGCCUUUAUGAAGGUGGGGUCUGGAAAAUACGGGUUGAGCUUCCUGAUGCUUAUCCAUACAAGUCUCCUUCUAUUGGGU